AACGUAGGAGACAAACGUUAUCCGGAGUUACUGGGCGUAAAGGGCGUGUAGGCGGUACGUUAAGUCUGGCGUGAAAGCUCUCGGCUAAACCGGGAGAGGUCGUUGGAUACUGGCAAACUAGAGGACGGUAGAGGCGUGUGGAAUUCCGGGUGUAGUGGUGAAAUGCGUAGAGAUCCGGAGGAACACCAGUGGCGAAGGCGACACGCUGGGCCGUACCUGACGCUAAAGCGCGACAGCAUGGGGAGCAAACGGG
RNAcentral lists this ribosomal RNA (253 nucleotides) under uncultured bacterium. Its description in RNAcentral is "partial 16S ribosomal RNA". It matches the Rfam family "Bacterial small subunit ribosomal RNA", at positions 524 to 776 of the family's 1533-position model. The record is from RNAcentral.